AGCCUUAAGGUGAUGUUCAUGUCGAAUUGCAAAUUCGAAGGUGUAGAUAAAUAAUUCUACUAAGGCU
This 67-nucleotide transfer RNA is filed under the name Pseudomys chapmani (western pebble-mound mouse). Its description in RNAcentral is "tRNA-Cys". The record is from RNAcentral. Lineage: Eukaryota; Metazoa; Chordata; Mammalia; Rodentia; Muridae.